Molecule: ribosomal RNA, 380 nt
Filed under: uncultured eukaryote
Lineage: Eukaryota
Description: partial 18S ribosomal RNA
Rfam family: Eukaryotic small subunit ribosomal RNA
Source: RNAcentral
CAAUAGCGUAUAUUAAAGUUGUUGCAGUUAGAACGCUCGUAGUCGGAUUUCGGGUCGGGCCGACCGGUCUGCCGAUGGGUACGCACUGGUCGGCGCGUCCUUCCUCUCGGAGACUGUUCCUACUCUUAACUGAGCGGGGGCAGGAUACGGGACUUUUACUUUGAAAAAAUCAGAGUGUUUCAAGCAGGCAGCUCGCUCUUGCAUGGAUUAGCAUGGGAUAAUGAAAUAGGACUUUGGUGCUAUUUUGUUGGUUUCGAACACCGAAGUAAUGAUGAGAAGGGACAGUCAGGGGCACUCGUAUUCCGCCGAGAGAGGUGAAAUUCUCAGACCAGCGGAAGACGAACCACUGCGAAAGCAUUUGCCAGGGAUGUUUUCACUGA